GAUGAACGCUGGCGGCGUGCCUAAUACAUGCAAGUCGAGCGGAAAGACCCGGCGCUUGCUCCUCUCUCGUUUGCGGAACGCGGGUGUGUCACAUGUGUAUACCCCCCUUAUAUUUCUGAUAUCUCCUCGGAACACGGGCUCAUAUCGCAUAUAAUCUCCUGCUCCGUAGGGUUCAUUAGUAAAAUACGGCUUUGGUGGCUCUUCUCGCUGCUUCCGCGCUGCAUUAGCUAGUAGUGAAGGUCACGGGUUACCACGGCGAGGAUGCGUGGCCGAACGCAGAGGGUGAUCGGCCACAUGGGAAGUGAGACACGGUCCAGGCUCCUAAGGGAGGCAGCAGUAGGGAAUCUUCCGCAGUGGGCGAAAGCCUGACGGAGCAACGCCGCGUGAGUGAUGACGGUCUUCGGAUCGUAAAACUCUGUUAUUAGGGAAGAACAAAUGUGUAAGGAACUAUGCACGUCUUGACGGUACCUAAUCAGAAAGCCACGGCUAACUACGUG
RNAcentral lists this ribosomal RNA (497 nucleotides) under uncultured bacterium. RNAcentral describes it as "partial 16S ribosomal RNA". It matches the Rfam family "Bacterial small subunit ribosomal RNA", at positions 28 to 507 of the family's 1533-position model. The record is from RNAcentral.